RNAcentral lists this long non-coding RNA (340 nucleotides) under Zalophus californianus (California sea lion). RNAcentral describes it as "lncRNA (ENSZCAG00015000313.1)". The record is from RNAcentral. Lineage: Eukaryota; Metazoa; Chordata; Mammalia; Carnivora; Otariidae.
GGCGAAAGCCCCACCAUCCAUCCGCUCUGCCUCCAUCUCCCUCAUUCUGAAUGGACGCUUCCUUCCUUGGUGUAACUCUCCCAGCCAGGUGGAGGGCUGAAAGGCUGAACUAGAAAUCAAGAAAGCUGCCUAAUUGGAGGCUGCAGCAUGCCAGAGGGUGAAAUUAAGGGAGGAAGAGGAGCCUCCUUCGGUGGAGAUGCCAUGAAUAUGAGAGAGCAGAAGUUAAGUGUGAAGAAGGGGAGCACAUCUCUACACUGCUGAGAGCAAGAAAUAAAAUUUUCCCAAUUACAGGUUUCCACUGUAAUUUUCCUCUUUGAAGAAUAAUAAAACACUACACCCA